GACGAACGCUGGCGGCGUGCCUAACACAUGCAAGUCGAACGGAAAGGUCCGGCUUUUGUGGGGUGGUCGGGUGGCGAACGGGUGAGUAACACGUGAGUAACCUGCCCUUGACGUUGGGAUAACUUAAGGAAGCUGGGGCCAAUACCGGAUAGGAGUUCCUGCUGCAUGGUGGGGCUUGGUAAGUUUCGGCGGUUGGGGAUGGAAUCGCGGCUUAUCAGCUUGUUGGUGGGGUAGUGGCUUACCAAGGCCUUGAGGGGUAGACGGCCUGGUCGGGGGACCGGACACGCUGGGCCUGAGCUACGACACAGACUCGUCCGGGACGCAGCGGUGGGGUAUGUUGCACAACGGACUGAGGGCAAAUGCAGCGCAGCCGCGUGGGGGAUAUCGGCCUUCGGGUUGUAAACCGCAUUCGUUUGUGACGGGGCGUGAGUGACGGUAAUGGGUGAAGAAGCACCGGCUAACUACGUG
This 468-nucleotide ribosomal RNA is filed under the name uncultured bacterium. RNAcentral's name for it is "partial 16S ribosomal RNA". It matches the Rfam family "Bacterial small subunit ribosomal RNA", at positions 28 to 507 of the family's 1533-position model. The record is from RNAcentral.